AGAGUUUGAUCAUGGCUCAGAAUGAACGCUGGCGGCGUGCUUAACACAUGCAAGUCGAACGAGAAAGGGAUUGCUUGCAAUCCUGAGUAGAGUGGCGCACGGGUGAGUAACACGUAGAUAAUCUACCUUCGAGCCCGGGAUAACUAUCCGAAAGGAUGGCUAAUACCGGAUGAGGUGUUUUAACACAAGUUAACACAUGAAAGAUUGCCUAUCCAUGGAAGCAAUUGUUUGGAGAUGAGUUUGCGGACCAUUAGUUUGUUGGUGGGGUAAAGGCCUACCAAGACUGCGAUGGUUAGCUGGUCUGAGAGGAUGAUCAGUCACACUGGAACUGGAACACGGUCCAGACUCCUACGGGAGGCAGCAGUGAGGAAUUUUGCGCAAUGGGGGCAACCCUGACGCAGCAACGCCGCGUGAGUGAAGAAGGCCUUUGGGUCGUAAAGCUCUGUCAAUCGGGAAGAAGUUAUUGUAUUCGAAUAGAGUAUAGUAUUGACGGUACCGAUGAAGGAAGCACCGGCUAACUCCGUGCCAGCAGCCGCGGUAAUACGGGGGGUGCAAGCGUUAUUCGGAAUUAUUGGGCGUAAAGGGCGCGUAGGCGGUUUUGUCGGUCAGAUGUGAAAGCCCGGGGCUCAACCCUGGAAGUGCAUUUGAAACAGCAAGACUUGAGUACGGGAGAGGAAAGCGGAAUUCCUGGUGUAGAGGUGAAAUUCGUAGAUAUCAGGAGGAACACCGAUGGCGAAGGCAGCUUUCUGGACCGAUACUGACGCUGAGGCGCGAAGGCGUGGGUAGCGAACAGGAUUAGAUACCCUAGUAGUCC
This 814-nucleotide ribosomal RNA is filed under the name uncultured bacterium. RNAcentral describes it as "bacterial SSU rRNA". It matches the Rfam family "Bacterial small subunit ribosomal RNA", at positions 8 to 796 of the family's 1533-position model. The record is from RNAcentral.